This 382-nucleotide ribosomal RNA is filed under the name uncultured eukaryote. RNAcentral describes it as "partial 18S ribosomal RNA". It matches the Rfam family "Eukaryotic small subunit ribosomal RNA", at positions 592 to 976 of the family's 1831-position model. The record is from RNAcentral.
UGUAAGCGUAUACCAAAGUUGUUGCAGUUAAAACGCUCGUAGUCGGAAUUUGGCAGUUCCGGAUGUGUGCACGUCGUGUGCGCGCUUCGCGGGGAUUGCUUUUGUGGUCUUGCGUAGGAUGAGGCACUUUUAUUAGUGAACGUCCUCACGCAACCACUUUUUACUGUGAGAAAAUCAGAGUGCUCAAAGCAGGCAUUUGCCGUGAAUGUAUUAGCAUGGAAUAAUAGAAUAGGACUUGGUUCUAUUUUGUUGGUUUGUUGGGACUGAGUAAUGAUUAAGAGGGACAGUUGGGGGCAUUUGUAUUUCGGUGCUAGAGGUGAAAUUCUUAGAUUACCGAAAGACAAACUGCUGCGAAAGCGUCUGCCAAGGAUGUUUUCAUUGA